Molecule: ribosomal RNA, 433 nt
Filed under: uncultured bacterium
Lineage: Bacteria
Description: partial 16S ribosomal RNA
Rfam family: Bacterial small subunit ribosomal RNA
Source: RNAcentral
AACGAACGCUGGCGGCAUGCCUAACACAUGCAAGUCGAACGAGACCUUCGGUUCUAGUGGCGCACGGGUGCGUAACGCGUGGGAACCUGCCCUUAGGUUCGGAAUAACUCCCCGAAAGGGGUUCUAAUACCGGAUAAUGUCUUCGGACCAAAGAUUUAUCGCCUUUGGAUGGGCCCGCGUUGGAUUAGCUAGUUGGUAGGGUAAAAGCCUACCAAGGCGACGAUCCAUAGCUGGUCUGAGAGGAUGAUCAGCCACACUGGGACUGAGACACGGCCCAGACUCCUACGGGAGGCAGCAGUGGGGAAUAUUGGACAAUGGGCGAAAGCCUGAUCCAGCAAUGCCGCGUGAGUGAUGAAGGCCUUAGGGUUGUAAAGCUCUUUUACCCGGGAUGAUAAUGACAGUACCGGGAGAAUAAGCUCCGGCUAACUCCGUG